CCUACGGGAGGCAGCAGUGGGGAAUAUUGCACAAUGGGCGCAAGCCUGAUGCAACGACGCCGCGUGAGGGAUGACGGCCUUCGGGUUGUAAACCUCUUUCAGUAGGGAAGAAGCGAAAGUGACGGUACCUGCAGAAGAAGCGCCGGCUAACUACGUGCCAGCAGCCGCGGUAAUACGUAGGGCGCAAGCGUUAUCCGGAAUUAUUGGGCGUAAAGAGCUCGUAGGCGGUUUGUCGCGUCUGCUGUGAAAGACCGGGGCUCAACUCCGGUUCUGCAGUGGGUACGGGCAGA
This 290-nucleotide ribosomal RNA is filed under the name uncultured bacterium. RNAcentral's name for it is "partial 16S ribosomal RNA". It matches the Rfam family "Bacterial small subunit ribosomal RNA", at positions 338 to 640 of the family's 1533-position model. The record is from RNAcentral.